This 441-nucleotide ribosomal RNA is filed under the name uncultured bacterium. RNAcentral's name for it is "partial 16S ribosomal RNA". It matches the Rfam family "Bacterial small subunit ribosomal RNA", at positions 338 to 795 of the family's 1533-position model. The record is from RNAcentral.
CCUACGGGAGGCAGCAGUGGGGAAUAUUGCACAAUGGGGGAAACCCUGAUGCAGCGACGCCGCGUGUGUGAAGAAGUAUUUCGGUAUGUAAAGCUCUAUCAGCAGGGACGAGGCAAGAAGGUACAUGACUAAGACGCACCGGCUAACUCCGUGCCAGCAGCCGCGGUAAUCCGGAGGGGGCCAGCGUUAUCCGGAAUCACUGUGUGUAAAGGGAGCGUAGUCGGCUGAGCAAGCCUGAAGUGAACGGCGGGGGCUCAACCCCGGAACUGCAUUUGGGACUGUCCGGCUGGAGUGCAGUAGAGGUAAGUAGAAUUCCUAGUGUAGCGGUGAAAUGCGUAGAGAUUAGGAGGAAUACCAGUGGCGAAGGCGGCUUACUGGACUGUAACUGACGUUGAGGCGCGAAAGCGUGGGGAGCAAACAGGAUUAGAUACCCCUGUAGUC